Molecule: ribosomal RNA, 435 nt
Filed under: Babesia gibsoni
Lineage: Eukaryota; Apicomplexa; Aconoidasida; Piroplasmida; Babesiidae
Description: SSU rRNA
Rfam family: Eukaryotic small subunit ribosomal RNA
Source: RNAcentral
GCAUGUCUAAGUACAAGCUUUUUACGGUGAAACGGAUAAUGGUUCAUUACAUCAGUUUUAGUUUAUUUGGUAUACGUUUUCCAUGGAUAACGUGCUAAUUGUAGGGCUAAUACAAGUUCGAGGCCUUUUUGGCGGCGUUUAUUAGUUCUAAACCUCCCUUGGUUUUCGGUGAUUCAUAAUAAACUCGCGAAUCGCUUUUAGCGAUGGACCAUUCAAGUUUCUGACCCAUCAGCUUGACGGUAGGGUAUUGGCCUACCGAGGCAGCAAGGGGUAACGGGGAAUUAGGGUUCGAUUCCGGAGAGGGAGCCUGAGAAACGGCUACCACAUCUAAGGAAGGCAGCAGGCGCGCAAAUUACCCAAUCCUGACACAGGGAGGUUAGUGACAAGAAAUAACAAUACAGGGCAAUUGUCUUGUAAUUGGAAUGAUGGGAAUCC